GACGGGGGCCCGCACAAGCAGCGGAGCAUGUGGUUUAAUUCGACGCAACGCGAAGAACCUUACCAGGUCUUGACAUCCAGUAAAACUUGCAGAGAUGCAUCGUGAGCUUGCUCAUACUGAGACAGGUGGUGCAUGGUUGUCGUCAGCUCGUGUCGUGAGAUGUUGGGUUAAGUCCCGCAACGAGCGCAACCCUUAUUUUCAGUUACUAACGCGUAGAGGCGAGGACUCUGAAGAGACUGCCGGGGACAACUCGGAGGAAGGUGGGGACGACGUCAAAUCAUCAUGCCCCUUAUGACCUGGGCUACACACGUGCUACAAUGGCCACCACAGAGAGGAGCGAACCUGCGAGGGGGAGCGGAUCUCAAAAAAGUGGUCCCAGUUCGGAUUGUGGGCUGCAACCCGCCCACAUGAAGUCGGAGUUGCUAGUAAUCGCGGAUCAGCAUGCCGCGGUGAAUACGUUCCCGGGCCUUGUACACACCGCCCGUCACACCAUGGGAGUUGGGAGUGCCCAAAGUCGGUGAGGUAACCGCAAGGAGCCAGCCGCCUAAGGCAAGACCAAUGACUGGGGUGAAGUAGUAACAAGGUAGGUCGU
RNAcentral lists this ribosomal RNA (592 nucleotides) under uncultured bacterium. RNAcentral describes it as "bacterial SSU rRNA". It matches the Rfam family "Bacterial small subunit ribosomal RNA", at positions 912 to 1504 of the family's 1533-position model. The record is from RNAcentral.